This 506-nucleotide ribosomal RNA is filed under the name uncultured bacterium. Its description in RNAcentral is "partial 16S ribosomal RNA". It matches the Rfam family "Bacterial small subunit ribosomal RNA", at positions 29 to 523 of the family's 1533-position model. The record is from RNAcentral.
AGUGAACGCUGGCGGUAGGCCUAACGCAUGCAAGUCGAACGGCAGCACAGAGGAGCUUGCUCCUUGGGUGGCGAGUGGCGGACGGGUGAGGAAUACAUCGGAAUCUACUCUGUCGUGGGGGAUAACGUAGGGAAACUUACGCUAAUACCGCAUACGACCUACGGGUGAAAGCAGGGGACCUUCGAGCCUUGCGCGAUUGAAUGAGCCGAUGUCGGAUUAGCUAGUUGGCGGGGUAAAGGCCCACCAAGGCGACGAUCCGUAGCUGGUCUGAGAGGAUGAUCAGCCACACUGGAACUGAGACACGGUCCAGACUCCUACGGGAGGCAGCAGUGGGGAAUAUUGGACAAUGGGCGCAAGCCUGAUCCAGCCAUACCGCGUGGGUGAAGAAGGCCUUCGGGUUGUAAAGCCCUUUUGUUGGGAAAGAAAUCCAGCUGGCUAAUACCCGGUUGGGAUGACGGUACCCAAAGAAUAAGCACCGGCUAACUUCGUGCCAGCCGCCGCGGUAA